Molecule: long non-coding RNA, 2462 nt
Organism: Odocoileus virginianus texanus
Lineage: Eukaryota; Metazoa; Chordata; Mammalia; Artiodactyla; Cervidae
Source: RefSeq, a predicted model, not a curated record
GAGUCUGGAUCAAUCAGUCCAGGAGUGACAGAUCAUCUCAAGCCUUACAACCACCCUCCCCCACCCCCCACCUCUAUUUUCCAUCAUCCCUACCGCUCUCCCACAGAGACCUCCUGGAGCCCCGCCUCCUCCCCCCCUGACGGUGGCUCUUGGGGUCACCUGCACGUGAAAUUCCAGCUCAGGACCAAGGGCUGCUGCCAAACUCCCCAUUUCAUCAUCCAGGGCAUCGAUUGUGGAGUUGCCCAACCGUAGACCCACAGCCCCAGACACCUCCCAGCCAGUCAUUGCCCACCCUGCCCAAACCACAGCUGACCUUGACCUCCGGACAACUCUCUGAGGCUAUUUGCACACCUGGCCAUUUAUUGUGAAGGAUGAAGUGCUGAGCAGUGUCCCAUUAUGACAGAUCUGUAGGCAGACUGGGGCCUGCCCAUCAGUUCUUGGUGAAGUCACUUUUCAUUGGUUAGAGCCAAUGUUUGUGUGAAGACUUAGUCCAAGGUUUCACAGAAUAAAUAUAGUUUUAUACCCUGAGAAAAAGACAUGAGGCUGUGUAAGGUAUUGGCAGAAGGUUUUCUCUGUGCACAGCACAGUUCUGACAGCUGGAAACCAGAAAGAAACAUGGAAAGAAUCUGAACAGCAUGACACUGAUGAGCAGACUGAAGUGCAGAGAGUUGAAGCAACUUGCCAGCCACACAGCUGGUGCUGGGGGGCCAUGGACCCAGCCCCUCACCCUGGGACAGGAAGAAAGAGAAACACCCACGUGCAUCUAGCUGGACAAUGUGACCUAGGAGGGAGACAAAUAAGAUGACACCCCCUAGAAGACAAAGCUCCCAGACAUGGAGAAUCAAAUAAAACAAGAUACUGCUACAUCAUUAGAAGCCUAAUUCAGCAGCAGCUUCCAACAGUGACGCAAACAGAUGCAGACAGAGCAAUGCAGGAGAGCGAGUGUGAAAAGGGAGCAGCCGGCAUGGGGCUCAGUCUCCAGCACGCUGUCACACAUCGUCCACAUGAUAACAGAGACCUAGGUCCUCUCUCCAAGGCAUUCGAGACCGAGGAUGGUACUCAUGUGGCUGAGGGACCUUCCUCCACUCAUAACCUGCUCAGCCUGCAGCUGUCUGGGUGCCCCGUGAUGGUCCCUCGAGAAGUCCAGGCUGGGGUGCAGGCACCGUUUGUCUUCCCAAGGCGGAUCAGGGUGACAGUGAACAUAGCAGGCUCUUCUGGAAGCCCAUACAGAGGAGGAGUAAGGCUCCCUGUCCGUGAGGAUGGCAGGCUUUGUGACUGAGCCCACUGAUGGUAUGUAGUGGAGGUGAUGUAUGGCGCUCCAGGGGUGUGUGUGGCGGGGGGGAGGAAGUGGUCAGAAAAGCAGCUCUCGCCUGGACCCCUCUACCUCUCAGGACAAGCACUGCUUUACUAAGGUUGUCAUUAAGUUUUGGGGUAACUUGUUACACAGCUGUUUCAGUCUGUUCAGGCUGGUGUAACAAAAAGUGACAUUAACUGGAAGGCUUAUAAACAACAUCUACUUUCCAUCUCUGGAGGCUGGGAAGUCCAAGAUCAAGGUGCUGGUAGAGUUGGAGUCCGGGAGACCUUACUGGGUGAAGACGGAGCAGGACAGGAAGAGGUGGGCAGGUGCAGGGCUGGGCGUCUCCAAGACAGGACCACCGAGGUCCACUGGGGUCCCCCAGGAUGGGACUGGGCAGGCUUCCCCUGCCACUGUAGGGUCACCUGUGGUAUUGGGAGGUCCCUUCCAGAAGCACUGAAGCCCCUGGGGGUGGCUAGCACCUUGUCCUAGGCAUCUUAUCCCUGUUGGGCACAGGUCUGGGGAUCUUGGGGGAGGCAAGUGGGGCCUCAGGGACCCCUCCACCUGCCAUCAGCCCCGCCAGCCCCACCCUAGUCCCUCUGGGUGGGACCACUGGGCUCAGUGUGGUCUAAGGCCCACUCUCCAGGGGGUAAGUGCCCUUUCCUGAGAACACCAGCCUUCCCUUUGCUUGGGGUUACGGCAUCCUGCUCUCUGUGAGGAGCACCUGGCAGGUGCAGGAGGAGAAGGCUGGUCUCCAGCCAAAGGGUGGAGGCUCCAUGUCCUGACCGUUGCUCUUGGUUCCUUCAUGUUUGUUUAUGCAGCACCUUCUCCUCCUGUCUACCAGGCCAGGCUUAGCCUUGGACAAACCUGGCCGCUCAGGCCAAAGUCAGCCCCACCUCACUGUCUUAUUUUCUGUUGUCUCUCAUUCUCGUGACUCUUCCCACGUGUUGGAAUUCUCUAGUCCCCCUAUCUGGUCCGUGUGUCCACUAUCAGCCAUAUCCGCUCUGAGACCUCAAGUUGGCAAAGACAGGGACCUGCUGGCAGGGCCACUGCCUUCCCAUUGGGCUCAGAACCUGCAGCCUGGCAGGGUUCAGGCCGCCAGUAUUUGGGGGGCAGGGGAUCAAGUGGGAGACCCAGGCUCCCGGUUGUGGGGUGGGUGCUGGGGAUU